This 482-nucleotide ribosomal RNA is filed under the name uncultured bacterium. Its description in RNAcentral is "partial 16S ribosomal RNA". It matches the Rfam family "Bacterial small subunit ribosomal RNA", at positions 30 to 507 of the family's 1533-position model. The record is from RNAcentral.
AUUGAACGCUGGCGGCAUGCUUUACACAUGCAAGUCGAACGGUAACAGGCCGCAAGGUGCUGACGAGUGGCGAACGGGUGAGUAAUGCAUCGGAACGUGCCCAGUCGUGGGGGAUAACGCAGCGAAAGCUGUGCUAAUACCGCAUACGAUCUAUGGAUGAAAGCGGGGGACCGAAAGGCCUCGCGCGAUUGGAGCGGCCGAUGUCAGAUUAGGUAGUUGGUGGGGUAAAGGCCUACCAAGCCAACGAUCUGUAGCUGGUCUGAGAGGACGACCAGCCACACUGGGACUGAGACACGGCCCAGACUCCUACGGGAGGCAGCAGUGGGGAAUUUUGGACAAUGGGCGCAAGCCUGAUCCAGCAAUGCCGCGUGCAGGAAGAAGGCCUUCGGGUUGUAAACUGCUUUUGUACGGAACGAAACGGUCUGGAUUAAUACCCUGUACUAAUGACGGUACCGUAAGAAUAAGCACCGGCUAACUACGUG